UCCUUUGCGUUCGGGCCCGAGGCUCCCUAUAUUGGCCUUGCCGGAAACGGCUAUGGCGAUAAAUGGCUAUCGUAAUAAACCCAUCGGACCCGGGGGCGGUACCCGGCGCCUCCACCAUCAUUUCUCCCGCGUUGGCGGGGAUGCAUGGGGGCGAAAUAGGAUCGACGAGGGCGUAAAGGGUGUGUUUUCGCUCGGCAUGAUACCACCGUUAUCGGGUCAAACCUUAUAGUUGCCAACGACAACUAUGCUCCGAAGGCGAUCGCUGCGUAAUGCGGCGCAAGCCUUGGAAAUCAAAGCCCUGAUCCUCUAGCAGGGAUUAGGCGGGGUUCGCAGGCACCUGGCAACAGAAGCCUGCACU
Molecule: transfer-messenger RNA, 358 nt
Filed under: Alphaproteobacteria bacterium
Lineage: Bacteria; Pseudomonadati; Pseudomonadota; Alphaproteobacteria
Rfam family: Alphaproteobacteria transfer-messenger RNA
About the family: Bacterial tmRNA, also known as 10Sa RNA or SsrA, is named for its dual tRNA and mRNA-like properties. Its role is to liberate the mRNA from a stalled ribosome.
Source: RNAcentral